GNGACGGCCGCUUUACCUUGACUGCGCUAAGGUAGCAUAAUCAAUUGGCUAUUAAUUGUAGUCUGGAAUGAAAGAAGUAAUGAAUAGUAGCUAUAAUAAUUAGUGUUUUUUUAAUUUGUUUAUCUGGAGAAAAUACCAGUAAUUUAGAAAAAAGACGAGAAGACCCUUAGAAUUUUUAAAGAAAAGUGUUUGACAUUUUUUUAAAUAGAAAAAAUAGAUUACAUCCUAAUUUUUUGUUGGGGCGACGAGAAAACAAAAACUUAUGAAGAAGCCUUCCUAAUUAUAUUAAAAAUAAACACAUGAUAAUACUAUGUGACGAAAUUUUUAUGAUUAACUAAAUUACCUUAGGGAUAACAGCAUAAUGAUACUUUUAUUUAGCAAGCGACCUCGAUGUUGGACUAGGAACUUUACCACUAACAGAGGAAAAAGAAUGUUCUGUUCGAACAAUA
RNAcentral lists this ribosomal RNA (449 nucleotides) under Physella gyrina. RNAcentral's name for it is "partial 16S ribosomal RNA". The record is from RNAcentral. Lineage: Eukaryota; Metazoa; Mollusca; Gastropoda; Physidae.